GAGAGAAGAGCAAGCGCAAUGGAGGUAGAAAAGAGAGACGGCGCGACCAGGAGCGCCGUCCUCGGAACAAGAAAGCUGCCUGCCUGCUUGCCUGCCUGCCGCCUGCCUGCUAGCCAGCCACCCCAAGUUCCCUUCUAGGCGGUGUUUUAAUGGCCGAGUGGCGCUUACCAUCGUCGGUGAUUCGUCAAGCAUGCAUUCGCCUUGUAGACACCCGGUAGACGAGCAACUACCCACCACAUCGCCAGUUUAAUCGACAACGAGAGAGUUAAUUCACGUCUGGUUCGAUGAACUUCUGUCAAUCGAACGCUGUCAUCUGAAUACUCGGAAUGCGAAGUCCUGGUUUUGUGGAAUUUCACGGGCUGAAACUCGCAGAGGACCAGAGCAGUUUAUUGAAUAAAUCAAGGUCAAGCGAAUGAAAGAGCGACGAGGAGGGCCGAGACAUCGGCCGGGAUUCUGUCGUGGCGCAGAAAAAUCAAAUUAAACAGCCGCUUUUAAGUCGAAUUAAAACGAAUGCGCUUAAUUAAAGCGGCCUGUGCCGCUCAACUAAAGGAGUUUUAUUGACGGCGACCGAGUCUCCUUUGUCGGUGCCACCGUGUACCCUUUCAUUAUUACGUUAAAAGAUGCCCGCGACUUUUUGGUUUUGCAGCAAAUAACGCUCUAUUUUUCUCUCCGUUAAAGACAGCCUGGUUUUUUUCCGAUUUUUCAACCCGACUCCUCUGUUUUUCAAUGUUUCCUUUCUUUGUGAUUUCGAAACGCGUUUCAGGAUCCAGCUUCUUCGUAGCCGCGCUUUUUGCUCCUUUCAUUCUUACGGCUACGUGAAUCGGAGAUUUUUUGGAAGCGGCAGCAUGGUGAAAAAGAAACGAGCGUGCGAAAUUAAUUUACUGUCUUUAUUGCUUCUCUUUGUUAAUUGGAUUAGAGUGAAAAAAACGAUAGCCCUUUAAUAUAUCUGCUGGCGUUCGCGUAUACGUUAGGUCUGUGUAGUUUUAUGGAAAUUCAUAUUUUCAUAGACUCAAUGAAAAAUCCGCAAUCUAAUGGUAGGUAGGAUGUUAUUUCAAUGUUAUAUAAGUAGCUACUGUAUCUUCGUUAUUUUCUAUAUUUUCACUUGUGUGCAUUUUCCAAUUUUUUAUCUCCUGUAAACGCGUAAAACUCAGCCAUAUGCAGCAAUUAUUGAAGGUGAAGAAGAAAUGUUUGUACUAUCGUAAUGCAUAAAAAUCCGUGAAGCAAAUGUUUAAAUAAAGCAGCUAAUACAGUUUGUGCAUUCUAGUUUUCCAUAUAGUGGAGCGCAGUUUCUGAACGAUUUAUUUUAAAUUCUACCUUAUUUUAUUACACUACCAAAAGGUUAGAUGGUAAAAUAAAUCGUUUCAUCGUGGCUGUAACGAUGCUCGUGGCCCAUGGUUUAUCGGUCAGAAAAAUGUGCAGACCCGUGACAAAAGGAGUCAUAACGGAACCGCGUUCGCAAGCCAAAGACGAGCACGUUAACGGUGUCUGAGGUUUCACCGCGCUAAAUACACACUUUUUCCCUCUCACUCGUCGCGUUAACGUCGAACCAACCGCGGACGACGACUCUUUUUCUUUUCUCUUACUCGACGAUGCUGUCCGCCGUGAAAAGAAGCAGCUACUCCAACGUAGGGAUAAAGACGAGAAAGCAAAGAAAAAGCCACGGUUCUCGUUGCAGAGAAAAUCGGAAGAGGAUCGACGUGGAAGAUGAAUAGAAGGCGAGAAGCGGAGGUUCUCCCUUGAAACAGGGGGACAAUCUUCCCCUGUUCAUUGUGAGAAUUUCUAAUUGUUCGCCAAUGUUCCGGAUAUGGUAAGGGAAUUUUUCUCUGGGAAAAUGGUACGUGGGAUUAUCUCUUACCAUAUAGCGUAUGGAUUAUCGAGAAAUUAUAAUUUUUUCAAGAAAUUUAACAGUUGAAAAGCAGUGCGUAAGUGUCUGGUGUUUUUAUUGUAGUUGGCAAAUAAAUAAUGGCGGAUUUUGUCAUUAGUUGGUAUUCACAAAAUCCGCAAUCACUUAGUUGCCAAUAGAAAUGAAAUUAUGUAAAUCAUUGGCGAUAUCAUGUAAUGUUAUAGGUUUGAUAAUAUUAGCAUCAGUAUUAGUAAUAUUAAUAGCUGUAAAUAAUAGGAUGAUGUAUUUUAAUGAUAGGAUGAUGUUUUUAUUGUAGUUGGCAAUUAAAUGAUUGCGGAUUUUGUCAUUAAUUGGUAUUGACAAAAUCCGCAAUCACUUAGUUGCCAAUAGAAAUGAAAUUAUGUAAAUCAUUGGCGAUAUCAUGUAAUGUUAUAGGUUUGAUAAUAUUAGCAUCAGUAUUAGUAAUAUUAAUAGCUGUAAAUAAUAGGAUGAUGUAUUUUAACAGUAUAAUUAAUAUUAAAAGUAGGGUAAGGGCAUUUUUCUUUCGGCAGGAUGGAUGCGACUAAUUAAGAAAUUUAACAGUUGAAAAGCAAUGCGUAGGUGUCUGGUGUUUUUAUUGUAGUUGGCAACUAAGUGAUUGCGGAUUUUGUCAUUAGUUGGUAUUGACAAAAUCCGCAAUCACUUAGUUGCCAAUAGAAAUGAAAUUAUGUAAAUCAUUGGCGAUAUCAUGUAAUGUUAUAGGUUUGAUAAUAUUAGCAUCAGUAUUAGUAAUAUUAAUAGCUGUAAAUAAUAGGAUGAUGUAUUUUAACAGUAUAAUUAAUAUUAAAAGUAGGGUAAGGGCAUUUUUCUUUCGGCAGGAUGGAUGCGACUAAUUAAGAAAUUUAACAGUUGAAGAACAAUGCGUAAGUGUCUGGUGUUUUUAUUGUGGUUGGCCAAUAGAAAUGAAAUUAUGUAAAUCAUUGGCUGUAUCAUGUAAUGUUAUAGGUUUGAUAAUAUUAGCAUCAGUAUUAGUAAUAUUAAUAGCUGUAAAUAAUAGGAUGAUGUAUUUUAACAGUAUAAUUAAUAUUAAAAGUAGGGUAAGAGGAUUUUUCUUUCGAUAUGGAAGAUGUGACUUUCUGUUAGAAAAUUGUGUACGUAUUGUGAAAAAAUUACAAGUUCUCUAGGAAAUUAGGCGAUUUAAUCGUAACGUACAAAUCAUGCUUUUAGAAAUGAAAUUAUGUAAUUAUUAUUAAUUGUGUAAUUAUUACAGGUAAUCGUGUAAUUAUUAGUAAUUAUUAGUAAUUAUAUAAUUACACAGGUAAUUACGUAAUUAGUAGCGUCGUAUCAUCAUGAUAUUUCAAUGAUGUACUAUUAAAACGAUGCCUGUAAGUUAAAGAAGAACUAAAUAUUAGGAAAAACAUAAGAAG
Molecule: long non-coding RNA, 3249 nt
Organism: Bombus terrestris (buff-tailed bumblebee)
Lineage: Eukaryota; Metazoa; Arthropoda; Insecta; Hymenoptera; Apidae
Exons: 4
Source: RefSeq, a predicted model, not a curated record